Non-coding RNA from Chiloscyllium plagiosum (whitespotted bambooshark), 526 nucleotides. The record is from RefSeq and is a predicted model, not a curated record. Lineage: Eukaryota; Metazoa; Chordata; Chondrichthyes; Orectolobiformes; Hemiscylliidae.
UUGGACCGAAGGUUCUGUUUCCGUGCUGUACAUCUCUAUGACUCUAUGACUGUGUAUCUGGGUUUUCUGUAUAGAUCUGGGUUAUCUGAUUUGAAUGCUGCAUGUCUGGUCUUCAGCAGGAAGUGGAUUUCUCAGUUCAUCCAAGGUUUCCGAUUGGGGAGCACCGAUCUCAUUGAAUGGUGCAACCAAAUAGCCCAUUGCUGUUCGUGGGCUUGUAGUCUUACAGUUUAAUGGUUUUAUCCAGUAACUGUUAAUGUGCAUGCUCUUUCUCCUUUUUUUUUGCAGUAUAUCAGCUCUGGCCUUUCAACCAACUCUUUGUAUUUAAAGCAAAGAAAGUGAGAUGCUGGAGAUCAGAGUCAAGCUUAGAGUGGUGCUGGAAAAGCACAGCAGGUCAGGAAGCAUCCGAGGAGCAGGUGUAUCGACAUUUCGGGCAAAAGACCUUCAUCAGGAAUUGUUUCUGUGCAUGCAUGUUAAAUAAGUCAAUAAAGAUGCAGCAUGAUAGUUUGAUCAGAUGCUGAGACAUAAA